GACAGCAGUUGGAUGGUCACAUUGGCAACACUGAAAUGACGAGAGAUCAGCAUGGCCCCUAUGUGAAGAUGGCAUGUAAACUUGUGAAGGGCUUCAUAUUUUU
RNAcentral lists this small nuclear RNA (103 nucleotides) under Dipodomys ordii (Ord's kangaroo rat). Lineage: Eukaryota; Metazoa; Chordata; Mammalia; Rodentia; Heteromyidae. The record is from RNAcentral.